AUGCACGCUGGCGGCAUGCUUCACCCAUGCCAGUCGAACGGGAAGUGGUGUUUCCAGUGGCGAACGGGUGAGUAACGCGUAAGAACCUGCCCUUGGGAGGGGAACAACAACUGGAAACGGUUGCUAAUACCCCGUAGGCUGAGGAGCAAAAGGAGAAAUCCGCCCAAGGAGGGGCUCGCGUCUGAUUAGCUAGUUGGUGAGGUAAUAGCUUACCAAGGCGAUGAUCAGUAGCUGGUCCGAGAGGAUGAUCAGCCACACUGGGACUGAGACACGGCCCAGACUCCUACGGGAGGCAGCAGUGGGGAAUUUUCCGCAAUGGGCGAAAGCCUGACGGAGCAAUGCCGCGUGGAGGUGGAAGGCCUACGGGUCGUCAACUUCUUUUCUCGGAGAAGAAACAAUGACGGUAUCUGAGGAAUAAGCAUCGGCUAACUCUGUG
Molecule: ribosomal RNA, 436 nt
Filed under: uncultured bacterium
Lineage: Bacteria
Description: partial 16S ribosomal RNA
Rfam family: Bacterial small subunit ribosomal RNA
Source: RNAcentral